UUUGGCGACGGGACGCUCCAUGGUUGCCCGUUUUUCGGGCUUCCCUGGGGACCUUCGCCGGGCAAGACGGAUGGGGAGGUGCACCACCGAUUCUAGGCAUCAGGACGUUGUGGCUAUCCUCAUUGGAAGGUCGCAUCAUCCCAAUGCCGGAAGAGGUGGUCGUGCUGUGACAACCGGCCUGAGAACGAAAAUUGUUGGAUACAGAAUCACGGUGUGCCCACCGUGUCACCGGUGAGAAGCAGUCUGGCGGCCGAAAGGCUGCUGGUUCUUCCACGUCGUUGGCGUAUGGGUGCAAAAAUAUGGGAUAUAUAGUGCCUGUUCUCGCGCUCUGUGGACUUUCGGUCGUCGUCCUCAUAGCAGACCCGUUGUGCUAAGCACGAUGGGAUGCUCGGGC
RNAcentral lists this unclassified non-coding RNA (394 nucleotides) under Triodia birriliburu. Its description in RNAcentral is "partial external transcribed spacer". The record is from RNAcentral. Lineage: Eukaryota; Viridiplantae; Streptophyta; Magnoliopsida; Poales; Poaceae.